AAGUCGUAACAAGGUUUCCGUAGGUGAACCUGCGGAAGGAUCAUUAUUGAAAUAAACCUGAUGGGUUGUUGCUGGCUCUCUAGAGAGCAUGUGCACGCCUUGUCAUCUUUAUAUUUCCACCUGUGCACUUUUUGUAGACCCUUUCAGGUCUAUGUUGCUUCAUUUACCCCAAUGUAUGUUAACAGAAUGUUGUGACUAUAUAAUAUAUACAACUUUCAGCAACGGAUCUCUUGGCUCUC
This 239-nucleotide unclassified non-coding RNA is filed under the name Cortinarius sp. Its description in RNAcentral is "partial internal transcribed spacer region". The stretch from base 1 to 46 matches the Rfam family "Eukaryotic small subunit ribosomal RNA", at positions 1786 to 1831 of the family's 1831-position model. The record is from RNAcentral. Lineage: Eukaryota; Fungi; Basidiomycota; Agaricomycetes; Agaricales; Cortinariaceae.